This 405-nucleotide ribosomal RNA is filed under the name uncultured microorganism. RNAcentral describes it as "bacterial SSU rRNA". It matches the Rfam family "Bacterial small subunit ribosomal RNA", at positions 9 to 416 of the family's 1533-position model. The record is from RNAcentral.
GAGUUUGAUCCUGGCUCAGGACGAACGCUGGCGGCGUGCUUAACACAUGCAAGUCGAACGGUAAGGCUCCAGCUUGCUGGGUACACGAGUGGCGAACGGGUGAGUAACACGUGGGUGACCUGCCCUGCACUUCGGGAUAAGCCUGGGAAACUGGGUCUAAUACCGGAUAGGACCGCACCGUGAGGGUGUGGUGGAAAGUUUUUUCGGUGUGGGAUGGGCCCGCGGCCUAUCAGCUUGUUGGUGGGGUAAUGGCCUACCAAGGCGGCGACGGGUAGCCGGCCUGAGAGGGUGGACGGCCACAUUGGGACUGAGACACGGCCCAGACUCCUACGGGAGGCAGCAGUGGGGAAUAUUGCACAAUGGGCGGAAGCCUGAUGCAGCGACGCCGCGUGGGGGAUGACGGCC